AGUGAACGCUGGCGGUAGGCCUAACACAUGCAAGUCGAACGGCAGCACAGGAGAGCUUGCUCUCUGGGUGGCGAGUGGCGGACGGGUGAGGAAUACAUCGGAAUCUACUCUGUCGUGGGGGAUAACGUAGGGAAACUUACGCUAAUACCGCAUACGACCUACGGGUGAAAGCAGGGGACCUUCGGGACUUGCGCGAUGGAAUGAGCCGAUGUCGGAUUAGCUAGUUGGCGGGGUAAAGGCCCACCAAGGCGACGAUCCGUAGCUGGUCUGAGAGGAUGAUCAGCCACACUGGAACUGAGACACGGUCCAGACUCCUACGGGAGGCAGCAGUGGGGAAUAUUGGACAAUGGGCGCAAGCCUGAUCCAGCCAUACCGCGUGGGUGAAGAAGGCCUUCGGGUUGUAAAGCCCUUUUGUUGGGAAAGAAAUCCAGCUGGCUAAUACCCGGUUGGGAUGACGGUACCCAAAGAAUAAGCACCGGCUAACUUCGUGCCAGCCGCCGCGGUAA
RNAcentral lists this ribosomal RNA (506 nucleotides) under uncultured bacterium. RNAcentral's name for it is "partial 16S ribosomal RNA". It matches the Rfam family "Bacterial small subunit ribosomal RNA", at positions 29 to 523 of the family's 1533-position model. The record is from RNAcentral.